GGUUCUCAAGCUCAUUUGGUAUGAGCCGUCGCCUCAUAAGCGAAAGGUAGGUAGGUUCGAAUCCUCCGGGAGCCACCA
RNAcentral lists this transfer RNA (78 nucleotides) under Salmonella enterica subsp. enterica serovar Derby. RNAcentral's name for it is "tRNA-Met". It matches the Rfam family "tRNA". From Rfam's summary of the family: Transfer RNA (tRNA) molecules are approximately 80 nucleotides in length. The record is from RNAcentral. RNAcentral also lists the same sequence under 67 other names. Lineage: Bacteria; Pseudomonadati; Pseudomonadota; Gammaproteobacteria; Enterobacterales; Enterobacteriaceae.